AGGACGGGAAGAGGAAGCAGCCAAAUACACUGCGGUCCAAGUUUAAUUGACUGUGCGCUGGAGUUCAGCGAAGUUGCGACAGCAUACGGAGACACAUUUUUCUUCUACGCACGCCAUACAGACCACCGCUUGUCUCCAGCACAGUGAGGGUAUUCACAUGAAGGAAACCUUGUGUUUUCAGCAUGGCACUUUGAUUGAAUUGACAUUCCUUGCUUGGAACAUUGGCAUACAAAACCCAAAAGAUGAGGAUGACUGGCAGUGAUGACCUUUUCAGUAGACAACACGGAAUUCUUUUACCUCCUACUUCAAAAUACACACCGGAAUGGCACUGUUGGUUGGACAUCUGACUUGUUAAGUCAGGGCAGAUCGAUCAACCUCAGCUUCAGCGAGAAGUGCAAUCUGACAUCUACAAAAGCACUG
Molecule: long non-coding RNA, 420 nt
Filed under: Danio rerio (zebrafish)
Lineage: Eukaryota; Metazoa; Chordata; Actinopteri; Cypriniformes; Danionidae
Description: lncRNA lnc.399 (ENSDARG00000117726.1)
Source: RNAcentral